CUCCUGGAUCCAGGUGUACCAAUUUCAGGGCCACUGCUGAGUUUCAAAAUGGCAGAAAGCAGCUACAACUCUGGCAAACGGGAAAAGAACUCCUUGCAGCUUCCUGCCUUCCCCAUAGCCUCUUCAAGAAGGAGGAAUGCAGCACAAGUAACCCAAGGCAGGAGAGAAAGAGAGAUGCUGGAUGUAGGCCAGUCUUUGGAGUUGAAGUGAAGCCACUCAACAGGACAAGGUCAGCAAACAAAAUCCAGCAACAUCAGAAUUAGCAGCAAGACAAUAGCUCCUAAGACCUACAAUAAUAGAGGUGAGAACUCAAAUCUUCAUUGGUAGUCAGCACAGAGGGUGUAACAGAGCUCAUCCUCCUA
This is a long non-coding RNA of Pogoniulus pusillus (Red-fronted tinkerbird), 362 nucleotides long. RefSeq lists it as uncharacterized. The record is from RefSeq and is a predicted model, not a curated record. Lineage: Eukaryota; Metazoa; Chordata; Aves; Piciformes; Lybiidae. The transcript is spliced from 2 exons.